CCCUUAGAUGUUCUGGACCGCACGCGCGCUACACUGAUUCAUGCAACAAGUUUUGUCCUUGGCUGAUAGGCCUGGGUAAUCUUUGAACGUGAAUCGUGAUGGGGAUAGAUGAUUGCAAUUAUUCAUCUUCAACGAGGAAUUCCUAGUAAACGCAAGUCAUCAGCUUGCAUUGAUUACGUCCCUGCCCUUUGUACACACCGCCCGUCGCACCUACCGAUUGAAUGGUCCGGUGAAAUCUUCGGAUCUGAGAGAUGUCUGAUUAAUUUCGGACGCCUUUUGGAAAAGUUGUUUAAACCUUACCAUUUAGAGGAAGGUGAANUCGUAACA
RNAcentral lists this ribosomal RNA (327 nucleotides) under uncultured eukaryote. RNAcentral's name for it is "partial 18S ribosomal RNA". It matches the Rfam family "Eukaryotic small subunit ribosomal RNA", at positions 1470 to 1796 of the family's 1831-position model. The record is from RNAcentral.